GUGAAGCUCAGUGGUAGAGCACUUGCCUAUCAGACAUGAAGCCCUGGGUUCCAUCCCCAGCAC
This 63-nucleotide transfer RNA is filed under the name Ictidomys tridecemlineatus (thirteen-lined ground squirrel). Its description in RNAcentral is "Spermophilus tridecemlineatus (thirteen-lined ground squirrel) tRNA". It matches the Rfam family "tRNA", at positions 5 to 66 of the family's 71-position model. From Rfam's summary of the family: Transfer RNA (tRNA) molecules are approximately 80 nucleotides in length. Their secondary structure includes four short double-helical elements and three loops (D, anti-codon, and T loops). RNAcentral also lists the same sequence under 1 other name. Lineage: Eukaryota; Metazoa; Chordata; Mammalia; Rodentia; Sciuridae. The record is from Rfam by way of RNAcentral.